GGACCGGCCCCGUCGGGCUCCGCCUCGCCCUGCCGCUGAUGUCAGCGGCACCGCGGCGGCCCCGUCGGGGCGAAGCGGCCAGCGGGCGGCGCGGUGCUGCGCGGUGCUGCGCGGUGCUGCGCGGUGCUGUGCGGUGCUGUGCGGCCAAGCGGCUGCCCGGGCUGCUCCCCGCUGCCGGGCCGGGAGCGCAGGGCGCUCGCCGUGUCCCGUCUCCUCACUCCUUCCACCUUUUUUUUUUUUUUUUUCCUGCUUCUCCCUUUAGGGCAGCGGCGUUUUUGCUUGUGCCUGAGCAAAGCGUGAGGAUAAGGACUCCGGGAUAAGCGUUGGUUUGACGCAGAUGCCCGUUAGGACAACGGAGACCGCGGGGUGAUGUCAACGAGGGAGCCGCUCCCGCAUCGCGUUCCUGCGGCUCCUUCUCCACACCUUGCCUUCCCGUCCUUUCCGGGCACCCACGGCCACCGGAGGCUCGCUCCACCCUCCUAAGGGGAGAAUAAACAGAAUCACACAGAAUCUCAGAAUCAUCUAGAUUGGAAGAGACCUUCAAGAUCACCUAGUUCAACCUCUGACCUAACACUAACAAGUCCUCCACUAACCUAUAUCACUAAGCUGAUCACAGACUGCUGUUGGAAAUGACCAAAGAUGUCUGCUGAGAAGAAUGGAGCAAAACAGCUGAAAAAGACUAUUUGGGGAUAUCAUCACUUGGGCUUGAGAACAAAACAAAACCAUGCAAAAUAAGAGAAUAAGUGGGAAGUUUAAAAAAUCCUCCAGCUCAGUGAUAACACUACUGUAAGAGCAGCAGGUCUGCUUACCUUUAAAUGAAGGCAAGCAUUCGGUGCUCCACUCAGAUACUAUUUGCUGACAGCAGUGAGACUUAACCUUAGCAGGGGUGAAUCUGGCUUUGUAAAAAAGUCUCUUUCCUCCUUGAUUUCUUCUGCUUGGUCUGGCAGAAACUAGGCUAGUAAUCACUGGGCAGGAAAAAAAAUAAUUACCGGAUUUGUCACAGAUUAGCUUUCACCCUUUAGGGAGUUAUGUUUGGAGCAGUAUGUUCUGUUCUUCCCUUGCUGGGUCUGUUUCUUUGGGAAAGGGGAAGAUAGACACCACUGGUGACCUAGCAUUCCUUGUGUAGAUGGAAAUACACAUACAAAAAGAUGAGAACAGAGAAACAUGGGUUCUGGAUUUCUUCCAAGUGGAAGUAAAAGCACGAGUUCCAAUUUAAUUUUGUCUCUUUUUAGCAGUAUUGACAUGAUUUUGGAAUUUGACUUUUUUUUCCCAAUUGUUCUUUAUGCAUUAUUUCAAACGAUGUGGACACAAGCACUGUAAAACCCUGCAUAGACACAAGCCCAGCAAUUUCAUGGCUAUUUGCCUAGCUGUGCUUGUGAUGAACUCCCUGUGUGCUUUGCAAUUCUUACUGAAGGUGUAAAUUUUAUAGGUUCAGUGAAGGAGAGCUUUAAACUUGCUCCGUGUGAGGUUGCCACAUUGGAUAUGCCACUUGCUUUCCUGGGGAUCUUCAAUGAGACGUUCUCCCAGAAUAGCUGUAUCAGUGGUAGUGUAGGUACUCAGCCUAGAAAACAAAUCAAUGCUAGAGAGCUGUAAGCAACCAAAGCAUAUGCACAUUUCUAUGUACCCAAAGGUUUAGCUGAAUACAGAGCCAUGAAUGCAGAAUCCAGGAAACAGUCAAAAUAGUCUAGCACAUGCCCAGCUUGCUUUUGUGGUAUCUGUGUAGCAGUACAGCUUGGAGUCUAAGCAAUCAUGCUCAUCUUCCAUUGCUUACCUAUAGGGCACCGAGAAAAUCACUCCAUCUCUGUGUCUAAUGUGUCAGGGUUGUGCUCAUAGGCCUGUAAGACAAAAGGAGAAAGGCUGCUGAAUUUGUGACCUGCUUGAAAUACAUAAAGCCACAUGCCAUAUGCUGCUGUGCACCCCAUGCACAAGCUUUGCCUUCUGCAGUUUCAGGGCAGUCAUUUUUGUAGUGUCUGAAGAAGGCUGUGAGUCAGGUAAUGUGCAAACUGAGAGCUGAACUGUGCUUAACACAUCAGGCACAGCAGCCAUCUUCCACAAUCAGUAAGUAGGUUACUAAAUUGCAUUAAAUUCUCACUGAGCAGGUCUUUAAUUAAACUUUUAAUGCAGUCCUCAAGCGUAUGCAUAUGGAGUUACAUCAUUAAUGACAACUCUUCUGUUUCAGCUUUAACGUAUCUAUCAGAUCUGAUUGGAAAAUCACAAUAGCUUUUUCUAUUUGAUUGAGCAUGCUGUAGUUGAGUUUAGCUGCUAAAGGCUACUGAUUUUCUCACCACAAUUUAGCUGUAUACAAGGUAAUGCUGGGAAUCUGUAGGUUCAGUUUAGUCUUGCAGUUAGUUAUCAUUAUCAGUUAUUGUAUCUCUAUAGUUAUGUAUUUUUAUCACCACAAAGAACAGAGAAAGAUUUCUGAGGUACAGGCAACUCACACUCACAAGGAUAUGAAUUAUUCUAAGUAGUGGGGUUGGGGGGCGCACUUAGGUGAAUUAUUCCAACAUACAGAAAUCUUGGAAUAUGAAAUUUUAAUUUCCCUUAGCCCAUGGACACCAAGGUCUUAUUACUUUCUCCAUUUUUUUAUUCAAUCAUAUUGCCAGCUGAUUGCAAAGAGAGCUUUGCUAGCUGAGAGUGCAGUGAACGUUUCUGGAUUUUUCACUUGGUAGCUGUGCCUGCCUUACCUUUGAGAAAGCAACACAGGGAGGGGAGAUAGGGGGGUCAAGACAUCUUUUAAAAGCUGACCUGCAAAGAAUUUGUGUUAAAUUAGUUUUGUCUUGCUUUUGUAAAGUCCAUGAAUUUUUGAGGAAAUGAAAAGCACUAGGAGUUUUCAUUCCCUUUAACCCACUCUCCUUUGUAGAUCAUCUUGAAAAUUAAUUAUCAGGAGUACCAUGCCUGAUCUUCCUGAGCUGGCUGGCACAUUACUGGGAAUGCAAGGAGCUGGAUGCUGUUCACCAGCUAUUGUCAAGCCCAAGCCAAGAGUCACCAUAUAACAUGCUUCAGACUACCACACUUUAAAACCCAUUUUUUUUCAUGAUCUUUACCUUACCUAUUAAUUAUAUUGAUUGCUAGGGUGAUAUUUUCAAACAAUUGCAAAAAGCUAAGAUCUUUCUUCUACCUAAUCACAUGAGCCCAGGCACUGGGGCUAUCAAAAAGCAGGAAGCAGGAUAGUGUUGCUCCCUGGACUGGCCACAAUAAGGUGCUCAAAAAUUCACCAGAGUGGUGGGGAAGUAGUUUGACUUUAACCACUGCAUUGUUUCUCCAGAAUAUUCAUUAAAUGCUAGAAAUAAUUGUAAGUAUCAUACAAGAGAUGAAAAAGCAUAGGGUGAAGUUUUAGCUUCUCUCCAGCUUGCACUCUGCUUUUGAAUAUGAACUAUUUUGCUCUCCAUUUCUUACCAGAUUGUUUUAAAAGUAUGUAUUAGAGCUGCAGGCUUUGCUGCCACACUGACAAUAGGCAGCUCUGGAGGUAGAGUGAAGGGCAGAGGGACGAGUUUUGAGACUGAGCCUGAAUCACAGCCAAAAUUCUAUGGGAGGGGAAAGUAAUAGCAGUAGAUCUAAUUGAAGGCAUUCAGUAUUUUUUGUACAAUUAAUGGUUGGAUGGUGUUUAGCGUUAGAAUUUCUUUACUAUGCUGCUUCUUUUUUCUUUUUUCUUUUUUUUUUUAAUUUACAGUACUGUGCCCAACAUGCCUCAUUGUCCAGUUAGCUUGUUUGCAGCUUAUUUUGCAAGCAAAAUAAGCUUUAGUAAAAUACUGAAUGCAUAAUAUGUGUAAAAUAUCUGCCCAUGCAAACAUGUACUCUGAGAGCUUGUACUUACUGCUGAAAUGUUUAUGUUGCAUAAAUCAGACACUGUGAAGUCUUCCCUACUCAUCUGAGAUGUGUUUGGUCUCAGUCUGUGGUCUGCUUUGUGUUUGGUGGUGUUUCUAGCUCAUUUUUUGUGAUUAGAAAUACAUUCUUACUACAUUUUUUGGACACGGUCAAAAUGUCCUGCUCUAUAAGUAAAAUUAUUUUCUGCUUGAAUAAUUUCAGGCAGAAAUGUGUGUUAUGAUUAGGUCUGCAGACGUAGCUGACGAUGAAAGCAAACAUCUCCCACAGUAAAACAAGACUGAUCAGGCAAUCAAAUCCGGUAUUACAUGGCAAAAAUAUUUUAAUCCUCAACGAAAAUGUUUUCUAUGCAAGAAUCCCUAAGCUCAAAAUUAACUUAUAAAAACACUUCUACUGUUCUUAGCUAUCAUAAUUAGUCAUAAACAAGGAGAUACCACACAGUCAGAAAAGGCCUACCAUGAUACAGUGUUGGUUUCUAAAAGCACAUGACCUUGGACUUAAGAUAUAGUAGGUUUAUUUUUAACAUGAGCACACAGAUGUUUUCUGUAAACAGAGUAAUGCAAGGGAUUUACUUUGUAGUUUAUCAAAUGGUUACCAAAAUGUGAGUAGGUGGAACAAUAAGUGUGCUUUAAUAUCAAGUAUUUUAGGACAAGCUUGGCCAAAAUAUUUUGUCUUGUCACAAAAUAUUUUAAAACAACUUCAAAUUGAUAAUUCAGCAAUGCUGGCAUUCUUGUGGUUUGUAUAAUGCAUACACAGACAGAACAAGACAUUUUACAGGACAUGGAUAGCUUAGGUGGUUUUAAAUGAUAUAGAGAGCGUGUUAUGGUGUAGUGCAGAAUGAAACUGUUUCCAAACCAGAUCUCUUCUUUCUGUAAAUUGUCCUUUUCUUUUAGACCAGAUAAACUGUUAAUGUUUCUGUCAUUAAAACUUCACUUUGUCAGA
Molecule: long non-coding RNA, 4764 nt
Organism: Cygnus atratus (black swan)
Lineage: Eukaryota; Metazoa; Chordata; Aves; Anseriformes; Anatidae
Exons: 2
Source: RefSeq, a predicted model, not a curated record